This is a long non-coding RNA of Eucalyptus grandis, 579 nucleotides long. RefSeq lists it as uncharacterized. The transcript is spliced from 3 exons. The record is from RefSeq and is a predicted model, not a curated record. Lineage: Eukaryota; Viridiplantae; Streptophyta; Magnoliopsida; Myrtales; Myrtaceae.
AUCAUCCUGCAAAAAGUCAGAAGCUGAAACGAAACCGCUGGUAAACAGUGCCUGCAACUGAUCGAGAGCGAUAGAGAGAGAGAGAGAGAGAGGAGGAAGAAGAUGAUCCACCGCAAAUGGAGUCUCCUGACUGGUCCCGUCGCUAUACUCGUCGGCAUCGUGGCCGCUCUCCCCGUCGCCAACUACAUCGUCCUCGGCGAUCCAUUCCGUAAGCCAGAGCCAAAGGAGGAGUAUUCAUCAUCAUCUACCAAGUGACCUGGUGAUGUAACUCAAGUGAAUGUGAGACCAUCUUUGGGCUGGGUUUUGAGGUUCUUGAACCUUAAGAUGGGAACAGAAAGUUGUAUCUUGAUAUAUUAGUUGCGGACCGUUGUUCAACCCAAUGUACCUGGCCAUUCUCUUUUGUUGAAUGCUGCUCCGUCCCUAUUUUCUGCUUGACUGCCAAAAAUAAGUUGUUUUGAAUUUGGCCAGUUAACACUGUGGUUGAUGCAAAUGUUCCCAUUGGUGGCAGAAAUAAUGAACCGUCAUGCUGAUGUUUCUGAAAUAGUGAUUUAGAGCUUCAAUAUCAAUGUUACUUGUUAG